GACGAACGCUGGCGGCGUGCUUAACACAUGCAAGUCGAACGGAAAGGCCCUGCUUGCAGGGUACUCGAGUGGCGAACGGGUGAGUAACACGUGGGUGAUCUGCCCUGCACUUCGGGAUAAGCCUGGGAAACUGGGUCUAAUACCGGAUAGGAGCCAUUUUUAGUGUGAUGGUUGGAAAGUUUUUUCGGUGUAGGAUGAGCUCGCGGCCUAUCAGCUUGUUGGUGGGGUAAUGGCCUACCAAGGCGGCGACGGGUAGCCGGCCUGAGAGGGUGGACGGCCACAUUGGGACUGAGAUACGGCCCAGACUCCUACGGGAGGCAGCAGUGGGGAAUAUUGCACAAUGGGCGCAAGCCUGAUGCAGCGACGCCGCGGGGGGGAUGACGGCCUUCGGGUUGUAAACUCCUUUCGCUAGGGAUGAAGCUUUUUGUGACGGUACCUAGAGAAGAAGCACCGGCUAACUACGUG
RNAcentral lists this ribosomal RNA (465 nucleotides) under uncultured bacterium. Its description in RNAcentral is "partial 16S ribosomal RNA". It matches the Rfam family "Bacterial small subunit ribosomal RNA", at positions 28 to 507 of the family's 1533-position model. The record is from RNAcentral.